AAGCUCAAGAUCAAGACAACUGAAACAUAAUCAGUCUUGGCCUCGACUGAAAGAUCUGGUCUGAGUGGAAGAUAUCGGAGGAUGGAAUGCAAUAGUUGGACAAAAGCAGGCUCACUAGAUGUAGAGGGUCUGGACUGGAGUUGAGUCCUAAUGGCAUCUAGCUGGGACAAGACCUCCCUCAAGGAAACACGAAGCCCCUCA
Molecule: long non-coding RNA, 201 nt
Filed under: Elaeis guineensis (African oil palm)
Lineage: Eukaryota; Viridiplantae; Streptophyta; Magnoliopsida; Arecales; Arecaceae
Description: long non-coding RNA (EGUI_LNC070879)
Source: RNAcentral